GAGACUCUCCGUACGGGAAGGAUGAGAAGCUUCGACUAAGGUUCGAUUCGAGCGCAGCGAGAAAGCGUUGCCGCAGGCAACGACCCGAAGGGCGAAGCGCGCAGCGCUGAGUAAUCCUUCCCCCACCACCA
RNAcentral lists this small RNA (131 nucleotides) under Salmonella enterica. Its description in RNAcentral is "RtT sRNA". It matches the Rfam family "RtT RNA". From Rfam's summary of the family: This family represents a bacterial cis-regulatory element known as RtT RNA. The exact function of RtT is unknown although it is thought that it may be involved in changing the cellular response in relation to amino acid starvation. Lineage: Bacteria; Pseudomonadati; Pseudomonadota; Gammaproteobacteria; Enterobacterales; Enterobacteriaceae. The record is from RNAcentral. RNAcentral also lists the same sequence under 2 other names.